Molecule: ribosomal RNA, 758 nt
Filed under: Lentilactobacillus buchneri
Lineage: Bacteria; Bacillati; Bacillota; Bacilli; Lactobacillales; Lactobacillaceae
Description: bacterial SSU rRNA
Rfam family: Bacterial small subunit ribosomal RNA
Source: RNAcentral
UAAUACAUGCAAGUCGAACGCGUCUCCGUUAAUGAUUUUAGGUGCUUGCACUUGAAAGAUUUAACAUUGAGACGAGUGGCGAACUGGUGAGUAACACGUGGGUAACCUGCCCUUGAAGUAGGGGAUAACACUUGGAAACAGGUGCUAAUACCGUAUAACAACCAAAACCACCUGGUUUUGGUUUAAAAGACGGCUUCGGCUGUCACUUUAGGAUGGACCCGCGGCGUAUUAGCUUGUUGGUAAGGUAACGGCCUACCAAGGCGAUGAUACGUAGCCGACCUGAGAGGGUAAUCGGCCACAUUGGGACUGAGACACGGCCCAAACUCCUACGGGAGGCAGCAGUAGGGAAUCUUCCACAAUGGACGAAAGUCUGAUGGAGCAACGCCGCGUGAGUGAUGAAGGGUUUCGGCUCGUAAAACUCUGUUGUUGGAGAAGAACAGGUGUCAGAGUAACUGUUGACAUCUUGACGGUAUCCAACCAGAAAGCCACGGCUAACUACGUGCCAGCAGCCGCGGUAAUACGUAGGUGGCAAGCGUUGUCCGGAUUUAUUGGGCGUAAAGCGAGCGCAGGCGGUUUUUUAGGUCUGAUGUGAAAGCCUUCGGCUUAACCGGAGAAGUGCAUCGGAAACCGGGAGACUUGAGUGCAGAAGAGGACAGUGGAACUCCAUGUGUAGCGGUGAAAUGCGUAGAUAUAUGGAAGAACACCAGUGGCGAAGGCGGCUGUCUGGUCUGUAACUGACGCUGAGGCUCGAAAGCAUG